CUAACACAUGCAAGUCGAACGAGAAGCGCACCUUCGGGUGCGUGGAAAGUGCAGACGGGUGAGUAACGCGUGGGAACGUACCCUUCGGUUCGGAAUAACCGGGGAAACUCGGGCUAAUACCGGAUACGUCCGUAAGGAGAAAGAUUUACGCCGAAGGAUCGGCCCGCGUCCGAUUAGCUUGUUGGUGGGGUAAUGGCCACCAACGCGACGAUCGGUAGCUGGUCUGAUAGGAUGAUCAGCCACACUGGACUGAGACACGGCCCAGACUCCUACGGGAGGCAGCUGUGGGGAAUAUGGACAAUGGGCGCAAGCCUGAUCCAGUCAUGCCGUUUGAGUGAAGAAGGCUUAGGGUUGUUUAGCACGUACAGCCGGGAAGAUAAUGACGGUUGCCGGGAUACAA
This 400-nucleotide ribosomal RNA is filed under the name uncultured bacterium. RNAcentral describes it as "bacterial SSU rRNA". It matches the Rfam family "Bacterial small subunit ribosomal RNA", at positions 48 to 471 of the family's 1533-position model. The record is from RNAcentral.